This 460-nucleotide ribosomal RNA is filed under the name uncultured bacterium. RNAcentral describes it as "partial 16S ribosomal RNA". It matches the Rfam family "Bacterial small subunit ribosomal RNA", at positions 338 to 795 of the family's 1533-position model. The record is from RNAcentral.
CCUACGGGUGGCAGCAGUGAGGAAUAUUGGUCAAUGGCCGGAAGGCUGAUCCAGCCAUGCCGCGUGAAGGUCAGUGCCCUAUGGGCUUUACACUUCUUUUGUGCGGGCGCAAUAAUGGUCACGUUUGGCCAGACGAGAGUACCGUACGCAUAAGCAUCGUCUAACUCCGUGCCAUCAGCCUCGGUAAGAAGGGGGAUGCAAGCGUUAUCCGGAUUUAUUGGGUGUACAGGGAGCGUAGGCUGUGAGGUAAGUCAGCGGUGAAAGUCCCCCGCUCAACGGGGUGAAGUGCCAUUGAUACUGCCUUGCUGGAAUGCGGAUGCCGUGGGAGGAAUGUGUGGUGUAGCGGUGAAAUGCAUAGAUAUCACACAGAACACCGAUUGCGAAGGCAUCUCACGAAUCCGCGAUUGACGCUGAUGCACGAAAGCGUGGGUAUCAAACAGGAUUAGAUACCCCUGUAGUC